GAGGUUGUGGCUCAGCUGUAGAGCACUCACCUAGCACGUAGGAGGUGCUGAGUUCGAGCCUCACCACCACA
This 71-nucleotide transfer RNA is filed under the name Marmota monax (woodchuck). Its description in RNAcentral is "tRNA.Ala". The record is from RNAcentral. Lineage: Eukaryota; Metazoa; Chordata; Mammalia; Rodentia; Sciuridae.